AACGAACGCUGGCGGCAUGCCUAACACAUGCAAGUCGAACGAGACCUUCGGGUCUAGUGGCGCACGGGUGCGUAACGCGUGGGAACCUGCCCUUAGGUUCGGAAUAACUCCCCGAAAGGGGUGCUAAUACCGGAUAAUGUCUUCGGACCAAAGAUUUAUCGCCUUUGGAUGGGCCCGCGUUGGAUUAGCUAGUUGGUAGGGUAAAAGCCUAUCAAGGCGACGAUCCAUAGCUGGUCUGAGAGGAUGAUCAGCCACACUGGGACUGAGACACGGCCCAGACUCCUACGGGAGGCAGCAGUGGGGAAUAUUGGACAAUGGGCGAAAGCCUGAUCCAGCAAUGCCGCGUGAGUGAUGAAGGCCUUAGGGUUGUAAAGCUCUUUUACCCGGGAUGAUAAUGACAGUACCGGGAGAAUAAGCUCCGGCUAGCUCCGUG
This 433-nucleotide ribosomal RNA is filed under the name uncultured bacterium. Its description in RNAcentral is "partial 16S ribosomal RNA". It matches the Rfam family "Bacterial small subunit ribosomal RNA", at positions 29 to 507 of the family's 1533-position model. The record is from RNAcentral.